Rhincodon typus (whale shark) is the source of this 825-nucleotide long non-coding RNA. RefSeq lists it as uncharacterized. The transcript has 3 exons. NCBI's taxonomy places the organism in Eukaryota, Metazoa, Chordata, Chondrichthyes, Orectolobiformes, Rhincodontidae. The record is from RefSeq and is a predicted model, not a curated record.
CCCUUGCGAGGAUUCGGGAUUUCGGCGCAAUUAGGAGUUUGCCACCACUAGCCAAGAAGAGGAGAAGAAAAUGAAAGAUCAGGUUUAGGCCACACCAACAAAACUUGGAUUUUGUUUUUUUUUUCCUCUCCCUCUAUUGUGGUUUUGCCGUGAGAGUAUCGUCGCCAGAGUUUCACUUCAGGGAUGUAUUAUGCUGUUGUACAAUAGGUGCAGCGAUGAAUUGAUCCCGUGUAGCAUCGGUGACUUUUACUUAAAGGCUGCCUGAACUCCUGGUCAGACAGACAUUUCCAAGCAAGCUAUAGAUGCUGCUGAUCCUGCCAAGUUUCUUCAGCACUUUCAGUUUUUACCAUGAAUAAACUCCACCCAUCAGGAUAUCCAGGACUCUUCCUGGGAAGAGGCUGGCGCGCACGGUGGGCUGAAGGGCCUCGUUCCAUGCCGUAAAGACUCUAUGAGGAGCUGAAUACAAUGGACUUGCUAAAUCACAACGAAUACCCAAUUACAGCCUCAUGAGGAGCUUCUUCCGGAAACUAACUAUCCAGAAAGUUCCACAUGAUGACGUCCAUUCUUCUAGCAUUUUCUAAAACAGCCGACAGUCCACGGAUCAAAAAUAAAACGAACACAGCCAGCGAUUACGAUCACGGAUCAGACAAUUUAGAACAAAAAAAGUUAAAUUUUAUAUAUUAUUUCAGCUAACCGAUUAAAACAGACAAUAAAGGGAAAAGAACCAUGUGAACAUUCAAUAAAACGACAAACGUCCCGCAGGGGCAAGCGGAAUGCAGGGCGUCUGGGAAGGAGCGGGGCGGAAGUGCGUUAGCGUCAAGACAA